AUGAACGCUGGCGGCGUGCCUAAUACAUGCAAGUCGAGCGCACGGACGAGAAGCUUGCUUCUCUGAUGUUAGCGGCGGACGGGUGAGUAACACGUGGAUAGCCUACCUAUAAGACUGGGAUAACUUCGGGAAACCGGAGCUAAUACCGGAUGAUAUUUUGAACCGCAUGGUUCAAAAGUGAAAGACGGUCUUGCUGUCACUUAUAGAUGGAUCCGCGCUGCAUUAGCUAGUUGGUAAGGUAACGGCUUACCAAGGCAACGAUGCAUAGCCGACCUGAGAGGGUGAUCGGCCACACUGGAACUGAGACACGGUCCAGACUCCUACGGGAGGCAGCAGUAGGGAAUCUUCCGCAAUGGGCGAAAGCCUGACGGAGCAACGCCGCGUGAGUGAUGAAGGUCUUCGGAUCGUAAAACUCUGUUAUUAGGGAAGAACAUAUGUGUAAGUAACUGUGCACAUCUUGACGGUACCUAAUCAGAAAGCCACGGCUAACUACGUG
This 496-nucleotide ribosomal RNA is filed under the name uncultured bacterium. RNAcentral describes it as "partial 16S ribosomal RNA". It matches the Rfam family "Bacterial small subunit ribosomal RNA", at positions 29 to 507 of the family's 1533-position model. The record is from RNAcentral.